This is a long non-coding RNA of Boleophthalmus pectinirostris (great blue-spotted mudskipper), 2800 nucleotides long. RefSeq lists it as uncharacterized. NCBI's taxonomy places the organism in Eukaryota, Metazoa, Chordata, Actinopteri, Gobiiformes, Gobiidae. The transcript has 2 exons. The record is from RefSeq and is a predicted model, not a curated record.
GGUGCUCUAAUGUAACUUCCGUAAACACAGAGACGCUCGCUGCGGUUGACGUCGUCGUGUCUCCAGUGUCACAUGUGGGACAUUUUGGGUCGUUUAAUGUUCACACUGGAGUCACAUAUAAGUCACAUUUAACUGGAAAUGUGAACGACCACACAAAAACAUCGGAUUUCACAAAAAAAGCCGAAUUGAGUGUUAAGUCCUACAGUCUGAACGUAGCCUAUGAGUGCGUUUACAUGCGCUCAAGUAUCACGGUUAUGAUCGGGUUUCCUCGUUAUGUGAGUGUCCAUGUAGAUGCAGUAUCCUGAUUUCAGUUUCCAGGAUGUGCCAGUAUCCCAGUUAUGAGAAACCAGGAUCCUCUCACAGGGAUUUCUCAAAGUAUCCAGGAUACUGAUAUCCUGGUUUAUAAGCCAGUUUCACUUCGUGGAAACCGUCUGACCUUGCAGCAUUAGGAUUCGUUCGCUCAAUGUAGGCGGGUACUUUUUUAAUUUAAUCGCUGCUAUUUGGUUGUGAUGUAUGUAAUGUGCCACAAACGGGGGAUAACUGGUAUAUUAAGCUUUUCCCAAAUCCCGUAGGAAGAAGCACAAUAACGUCUUUCCCCUUGAUGAAAUUCAACAAACAUUCUUUUUGUUCCCGAUUUAAAUCCUCGAUUGAAUCGUUGCCAACACAGAAUGUCUGUCUCUUCGCUGAUUGGUCGGUGCUCAAACUCACACUUUCAGGUUUUUUUGUAAACCGUCUAGUGUUUUCUGAUUCCUGAACUAGUCGCUGGAGAAAAAUGAAGUUGAGCGGAGGCACUAGGUGGCGCCUGCCUGGCCAGGAUCCUGAGGCCUGUAGACGCAGUAUCUUGAUUUUUCACAACCUGUGCUGUACUGAGCAUGUGCGAACUCAAGUAACAAAAACAGUAGGAGCUCUUACUUUCCUAAAACGUAAUAAUAUUUUAUACUCACUUGAUCCAUGUUUAGUUUCUUGCCAUAUCUGUGCCAUAUUUGUGACGGCAAAUAUCCCGGAUACUCUGAUGUGGCGUGUGCAGAGAGAUAAGAGUGUCCGGGAUUCUCUGAGCGCAGGGAAACACCAGAUCCAGGAUACGGCCAUAACCAAGAUAAGGCUCAUAACUGAGAUAUUGAUGCGCAUGUAAACGCACUCAUUUACCUUUCACCCAAACUCUCCCGAACUCCGUCUGGACUCAAACAGGCUCAGAUCUAAAGUGAUUAAUGCAACAUGUUUUUCCAACUAUCGCUUGUAGUAAUGAAACGGUUUGUAGUUUGUGCUUUAGCAGUAAAAAAAACACAAAAAAAUACAAUCACAACUGAACCUGGGUUACGAGUGCCUUAAUGUGGAAGCUCAGAACCUCGGGAAUUCACUCUCUGAGCUGCAGCGGCUGCACUGGCACUGAUUUACGAUUGGUGCAGGAGCUGGAGUUUAGAGAAUGAAUAUUCAGAUCAGAAAGAGGCAUUUUAAACUAACUGGAUUUCAACACAAAUGAGAGAGUCGUGUGAGGCUCAUUCUGCUUUCUGAUAAUAACCGUGUCGAGCACCAGGAACUCCAAAUUAUUCACCGAACUCUGGAAGUUGUGUUGGGCGUCACAAUCACCAUUUGGGUUUUUAUUUUGCACCAGUCUGCCAAUUUUAACAACAAAUACUACCACGAAGAAGAGCACAGAAUAACAUCAAUAAAUAGGAAAUCUUAUCAAUAUUUUCAAUAUUUUUGUAAUUAACAAUAAAUCAUCGUCACAAUUCUUUUACUGACCACAGUCCGUGUAUCGUUCCUUCAUUAGUUUUUUCAAAAUAAAACCAAAAAUAAGAAAACAAACCAAAAAAAAAAAUAAUAAUUUUCUACAUUAUUUUUCUCCAUAACCAAAAUGAAUAAACAGAUAACGGCCGUUUCCCAUUUCUGAAACUUAAACUGCGAUGCCGGACUUUUGCACCGCAUACGGACUAAACCAGGUCUAAACCAGGAAUAAAUCAGGACUAAACCAGGUCUAAACCAGGAAUAAAUCAGGACUAAAACGGAACUAAACCAGGUCUAAACCAAGAAUAAAACAGGACUAAAACAGGACUAAACCAGGAUUAAAUAAGAACUAAACUAGGACUGAGUGUCAGGACGGGCCCGGAGCGCCCACGUACAAUGUCGGGUGAUCAGGACUGAGACUGGAACUAGACUGGGACCAGACCGGGACUGAGACCAGUUUUAGUCCUGGUUCAGUCCAGCAUCGCAGUUUAAGUCACGGAAACAUAAACACAAAAUUGAAAACUGAAAAAACAAAUCUUUAUCCAUUUUUCAUUUUGGUUUUAGAGACAAAUAAUGAAGAAAACAGUUGCUUGUUUUUUCGUUUUCUUAUGUUUGGUUUUAUUUUGAAAAACGAACGAACAAAUGACACAUGGACUGACCACAUCCGCUCCUUUGGCUGUGACGAUUUUAUGAAAGUGAAAUCAUGUACAGUUUCACCGUCCACUGCAACAAAACGAAAACCUUGCCUCUUUAUUCAACGAAAACAAAAACACCAAACAUGUCAAAGGUUUUAUAACGUCAUAUAAUUGAAGUGUAAAGUUCUAGAGGCAACGAACGAAGUGUGAAUGAUCUGAAGACGUCCGUGACUCUGCCCCCUACUGACGAAAUGUGAAAUUAUGUUUUACGAUUUGUAUUUUUUACUGUUCUGACCCGGCCGCCGUAUGAAGAAGGCUGGUGGUAAUUCAAUGAUUUUAUGUUGUCCAAUGUGAAACUACCUAAGACGCCAUUUUGAGAUUCAAACCUGCACUGUAACUGUAACAUUCUGCAAGAUUAAAACCUUUAUUUUGAGAUAAUA